GAUGAACGCUGGCGGCGUGCCUAAUACAUGCAAGUCGAGCGAACGGACGAGAAGCUUGCUUCUCUGAUGUUAGCGGCGGACGGGUGAGUAACACGUGGAUAACCUACCUAUAAGACUGGGAUAACUUCGGGAAACCGUAGCUAAUACCGGAUAAUAUUUUGAACCGCAUGGUUCAAAAGUGAAAGACGGUCUUGCUGUCACUUAUAGAUGGAUCCGCGCUGCAUUAGCUAGUUGGUAAGGUAACGGCUUACCAAGGCAACUAUGCGUAGCCGACCUGAGAGGGUGAUAGCCCACACUGGAACUGAGACACGGUCCAGACUCCUACGGGAGGCAGCAGUAUGGAAUCUGCCGCAAUGGGCGAGAGCCUGACGGAGCAACGCCGCGUGAGUGAUGAAGGUCUUCGGAUCGUAAAACUCUGUUAUUAGGGAAGAACAAAUGUGUAAGUAACUAUGCACGUCUUGACGGUACCUAAUCAGAAAGCCACGGCUAACUACGUG
RNAcentral lists this ribosomal RNA (497 nucleotides) under uncultured bacterium. RNAcentral describes it as "partial 16S ribosomal RNA". It matches the Rfam family "Bacterial small subunit ribosomal RNA", at positions 28 to 507 of the family's 1533-position model. The record is from RNAcentral.